Molecule: ribosomal RNA, 571 nt
Filed under: uncultured bacterium
Lineage: Bacteria
Description: bacterial SSU rRNA
Rfam family: Bacterial small subunit ribosomal RNA
Source: RNAcentral
CGUUGGGUCCUUGAGGACUUAGUGACGCAGCUAACGCAAUAAGUAGACCGCCUGGGGAGUACGGCCGCAAGGUUAAAACUCAAAUGAAUUGACGGGGGCCCGCACAAGCGGUGGAGCAUGUGGUUUAAUUCGAUGCAACGCGAAGAACCUUACCUGGUCUUGACAUAUCUAGAAUCCUGCAGAGAUGCGGGAGUGCCUUCGGGAAUUAGAAUACAGGUGCUGCAUGGCUGUCGUCAGCUCGUGUCGUGAGAUGUUGGGUUAAGUCCCGCAACGAGCGCAACCCUUGUCCUUAGUUACCAGCGGUUUGGCCGGGAACUCUAAGGAUACUGCCAGUGACAAACUGGAGGAAGGCGGGGACGACGUCAAGUCAUCAUGGCCCUUACGACCAGGGCUACACACGUGCUACAAUGGUAGGUACAGAGGGCAGCUACACAGCGAUGUGAUGCGAAUCUCAAAAAGCCUAUCGUAGUCCAGAUUGGAGUCUGCAACUCGACUCCAUGAAGUAGGAAUCGCUAGUAAUCGCGGAUCAGAAUGCCGCGGUGAAUACGUUCCCGGGCCUUGUACACACCGC